UAGUCAUAUGCUUGUCUCAAAGAUUAAGCCAUGCAUGUCUAAGUAUAAGCAAGUAUACUGUGAAACUGCGAAUGGCUCAUUAAAUCAGUUAUAGUUUAUUUGAUCGUACCUUACUACUUGGAUAACCGUGGUAAUUCUAGAGCUAAUACAUGCUAAAAAUCCCGACUUUUUGGAAGGGAUGUAUUUAUUAGAUAAAAAACCAACCCGGGCAACCGGAAACCUUGGUGAUUCAUAAUAACUUUUCGGAUCGCAUGACUUUACGUCGGCGAUGGUUCAUU
This 278-nucleotide ribosomal RNA is filed under the name uncultured eukaryote. Its description in RNAcentral is "partial 18S ribosomal RNA". It matches the Rfam family "Eukaryotic small subunit ribosomal RNA", at positions 21 to 299 of the family's 1831-position model. The record is from RNAcentral.